Molecule: unclassified non-coding RNA, 87 nt
Filed under: Pseudomonas synxantha
Lineage: Bacteria; Pseudomonadati; Pseudomonadota; Gammaproteobacteria; Pseudomonadales; Pseudomonadaceae
Source: RNAcentral
GUGGGAGGGGGCUUGCUCCCGAUAGCGGUGUGUCAGUCAGCCUAUCUGCUACUGACACUCUGCUAUCGGGAGCAAGCCCCCUCCCAC